GAUGAACGCUGGCGGCGUGCCUAAUACAUGCAAGUCGAGCGAACGGACGGGAAGCUUGCUUUUCUGAUGUUAGCGGCGGACGGGUGAGUAACACGUGGAUAACCUACCUAUAAGACUGGGAUAACUUCGGGAAACCGGAGCUAAUACCGUAUAAUAUUUUGAACCGCAUGGUUCAAAAGUGAAAGACGGUCUUGCUGUCACUUAUAGAUGGAUCCGCGCUGCAUUAGCUAGUUGGUAAGGUAACGGCUUACCAAGGCAACGAUGCAUAGCCGACCUGAGAGGGUGAUAGGCCGCACUGGAGCUGGGACACCGUCCAGACUCCUACGGGAGGGAGCAGUAGGGAAUCUUCCGCAAUAGGCGAAAGCCUGACGGAGCAACGCCGCGUGAGUGAUGAAGGUCUUCGGAUCGUGAAACUCUGUUAUUAGGGAAGAACAUAUGUGUAAGGAACUGUACACACCUUGACGGUACCUAAUCAGAAAGCCACGGCUAACUACGUG
RNAcentral lists this ribosomal RNA (497 nucleotides) under uncultured bacterium. RNAcentral describes it as "partial 16S ribosomal RNA". It matches the Rfam family "Bacterial small subunit ribosomal RNA", at positions 28 to 507 of the family's 1533-position model. The record is from RNAcentral.